RNAcentral lists this ribosomal RNA (406 nucleotides) under uncultured bacterium. RNAcentral describes it as "partial 16S ribosomal RNA". It matches the Rfam family "Bacterial small subunit ribosomal RNA", at positions 30 to 526 of the family's 1533-position model. The record is from RNAcentral.
AUUGAACGCUGGCGGCAGGCCUAACACAUGCAAGUCGAACGAGUGGCGGACGGGUGAGUAAUGUCUGGGAAACUGCCUGAUGGAGGGGGAUAACUACUGGAAACGGUAGCUAAUACCGCAUACCAUCGGAUGUGCCCAGAGGGGAUUAGCUAGUAGGUGGGGUAAUGGCUCACCUAGGCGACGAUCCCUAGCUGGUCUGAGAGGAUGACCGGCCACACUGUAACGGAGACACGGUCCAGACUCCUACGGGAGGCAGCAGUGGGGAAUAUUGGGCAAUGGGCGAAAGCCUGAUGCAGCCAUGCCGCGUGUGUGAAGAAGGCCUUCGGGUUGUAAAGCACUUUCGGCGGGGAAGCGUUACCCGCAGAAAAAGCACCGGCUAACUCCGUGCCAGCAGCCGCGGUAAUAC